AUACGGAGGGUGCAAGCGUUAUCCGGAUUCACUGGGUUUAAAGGGUGCGUAGGUGGGUUGGUAAGUCAGUGGUGAAAUCCCCGAGCUUAACUUGGGAACUGCCAUUGAUACUAUUAAUCUUGAAUACCGUGGAGGUCGGCGGAAUAUGUCAUGUAGCGGUGAAAUGCUUAGAUAUGACAUAGAACACCAAUUGCGAAGGCAGCUGGCUACACGAGUAUUGACACUGAGGCACGAAAGCGUGGGGAUCAAACAGGAUUAGAUACCCUGGUAGUCCACGCCCUAAACUAUGGAUACUCGACAUUUGCGAUACACAGUAAGUGUCUGAGCGAAAGCAUUAAGUAUCCCACCUGGGAAGUACGAUCGCAAGAUUGAA
RNAcentral lists this ribosomal RNA (373 nucleotides) under uncultured bacterium. Its description in RNAcentral is "bacterial SSU rRNA". It matches the Rfam family "Bacterial small subunit ribosomal RNA", at positions 523 to 898 of the family's 1533-position model. The record is from RNAcentral.